Molecule: ribosomal RNA, 254 nt
Filed under: uncultured prokaryote
Description: partial 16S ribosomal RNA
Rfam family: Bacterial small subunit ribosomal RNA
Source: RNAcentral
ACGUAGGGUGCAAGCGUUGUCCGGAUUUACUGGGCGUAAAGAGCGCGUAGGCGGUCUGUUAAGUGUAGAGUGAAAUCUCCAGGGCUCAACCCGGAAACUGCUCUGCAUACUGGCAGACUUGAGGGACUGAGAGGCGAAUGGAAUUCCUGGUGUAGCGGUGAAAUGCGUAGAUAUCAGGAGGAAUACCGAUGGCGAAGGCAGGUCUCUGGGCUGACACUGACGCUCAUGCACGAAAGCGUGGGGAGCAAACAGGA